ACAUCAAUAUGUUUGGUCCUAGGAUGGU
RNAcentral lists this non-coding RNA (28 nucleotides) under Bombyx mori (domestic silkworm). Lineage: Eukaryota; Metazoa; Arthropoda; Insecta; Lepidoptera; Bombycidae. The record is from RNAcentral.